GAUGAACGCUGGCGGCGUGCCUAAUACAUGCAAGUCGAACGCUGGAGCUCUAGCUUGCUAGCUCGAAGGAGUGGCGAACGGGUGAGUAAUACAUAAGCAACCUACCCACGAAGACUGGGAUAAUCUCUGGAAACGGGGACUAAUACCGGAUAGGUAAUCGGAAGGCAUCUUCUGGUUAUUAAAGGUUAAAAACACUGGUGGAUGGGCUUAUGGCGCAUUAGUUAGUUGGUGAGGUAACGGCCCACCAAGACGAUGAUGCGUAGCCGGCCUGAGAGGGUGAACGGCCACAUUGGGACUGAGACACGGCCCAGACUCCUACGGGAGGCAGCAGUAGGGAAUUUUCGGCAAUGGGGGCAACCCUGACCGAGCAACGCCGCGUGAGUGAAGACGGCCUUCGGGGUGUAAAGCUCUGUUGUAAGGGAAGAACGGUAGAUAGAGAAUAUCUAAGUGACGGUACCUUACCAGAAAGCCACGGCUAACUACGUG
RNAcentral lists this ribosomal RNA (486 nucleotides) under uncultured bacterium. Its description in RNAcentral is "partial 16S ribosomal RNA". It matches the Rfam family "Bacterial small subunit ribosomal RNA", at positions 28 to 507 of the family's 1533-position model. The record is from RNAcentral.